UAAUACGAAGGGUGCAAGCGUUAAUCGGAAUUACUGGGCGUAAAGGGUGCGUAGGCGGUUGCCUAAGUCCGUUGUGAAAGCCCUGGGCUCAACCUGGGAAUUGCAGUGGAUACUGGGCGGCUAGAGUACGGUAGAGGAUGGCGGAAUUCCCGGUGUAGCAGUGAAAUGCGUAGAGAUCGGGAGGAACAUCAGUGGCGAAGGCGGCCAUCUGGACCAGUACUGACGCUGAGGCACGAAAGCGUGGGGAGCAAACAGG
This 256-nucleotide ribosomal RNA is filed under the name uncultured bacterium. RNAcentral's name for it is "partial 16S ribosomal RNA". It matches the Rfam family "Bacterial small subunit ribosomal RNA", at positions 521 to 776 of the family's 1533-position model. The record is from RNAcentral.